This 465-nucleotide ribosomal RNA is filed under the name Vreelandella stevensii. RNAcentral's name for it is "partial 16S ribosomal RNA". It matches the Rfam family "Bacterial small subunit ribosomal RNA", at positions 338 to 795 of the family's 1533-position model. Lineage: Bacteria; Pseudomonadati; Pseudomonadota; Gammaproteobacteria; Oceanospirillales; Halomonadaceae. The record is from RNAcentral.
CCUACGGGGGGCAGCAGUGGGGAAUAUUGGACAAUGGGCGAAAGCCUGAUCCAGCCAUGCCGCGUGUGUGAAGAAGGCCUUCGGGUUGUAAAACACUUUCAGUGGGGAAGAAAGCCUUGGGGCUAAUACCCUCGAGGAAGGACAUCACCCACAGAAGAAGCACCGGCUAACUCCGUGCCAGCAGCCGCGGUAAUACGGAGGGUGCGAGCGUUAAUCGGAAUUACUGGGCGUAAAGCGCGCGUAGGCGGUCUGAUAAGCCGGUUGUGAAAGCCCCGGGCUCAACCUGGGAACGGCAUCCGGAACUGUCAGGCUAGAGUGCAGGAGAGGAAGGUAGAAUUCCCGGUGUAGCGGUGAAAUGCGUAGAGAUCGGGAGGAAUACCAGUGGCGAAGGCGGCCUUCUGGACUGACACUGACGCUGAGGUGCGAAAGCGUGGGUAGCAAACAGGAUUAGAUACCCGUGUAGUC